UCUUUUGUUGCAAUGCAGGCCAAAGCUUAACAAAUAUCAACUCCAGUAGCUCUACCAUGAAACUAACCCAAUCUAGCUUGAGAAUGAAAACUGUCAAAGGUUGCCUCCAGCUCCAUGUGUUUAUCCCACGAGUUUUGAGAUCUGUUGCAAAUUCUGGAUUUAUAUAAUCCCACUGAUAAAUAUGGGAAAAAUGGUGAGGAUGCUGAAAAUCAUUAUAUGAACAUAAAAUCAUGAUAAUAAGUCAAAGUCAAAGGUAACUUACUUCUCCACCAAGACUGAAUUGCCAGAACCCAAAAAGGAGCUCAAAAGAUUACUUUGACUUUGUGUUGACAAAUCUGUUGGCAACUUGCAUUGUAACCAAAUAUCAGUUCAAACACUUGUAUAAAGCAAGCAUUCAGUAAAUAAAAUUGAAGGUCUUACAGCUCAGGUGUUCCUCCUUGUAAGGCUAAAGCUCUAAUUCAGCAGUGGCAUUCCCAAACAAGGUAAUUUUUUAUUUUUUUAUAUUAUUUUUGUAAAAAACCCAAGCUUAUCCGAAAUGGUAAUUUUUUUGAGCAUGCUUUAUCUGUUGGCACCUUUCAAGGUUUACAACUAAAUUGUAUCAGCAUUCUAUAUAUUUGGCUUUCUUGAAAUCCUUGUUUUAUGAUGCUUACUAAUGAUUGUAUUUCAUCUUUAUGAUUUUCACUCUUGUUCGAUGCUUAUUUCAAUUGAUGUAAAUGCAGAUGCAUCCUUUUUGGAUGAAUGGUCUUUUGAUCAAUUUCAGAGCCUCCUGAAUAGGUCCAAUGAAACCCAAAGUUGAAAAGGUUACUUGAACAAGAUAAUCUUGUUGUAUUUUAUGGUUUGAACACAACCGGACACUAUAGGGUGUUGCUGCAAUGAAGGAAAACCAUCAUAAAAGACGAGGAUUUUUUUUAUUAACAUGCUCGUUGUUGUUAUUUUGUACAGGUAAAGGUUUACACGGAUCGGAAAACACUAGUACAUGCUUGGAGUGACACCAAAACAGCUGUAAAGCAGUUGAAUACACUCGUGACAGUGGUCCUAAUUAUUGUUACUGUCAUCAUAUGGCUUCUUUUGCUGGAAAUUGCAACCAGAAACUGCUUUUGCUCCUUUCAUCACAGCUUGUAGUGGCUGCUUUUAUGUUCGGAAACACCUGCAAGACUAUUUUUGAAGCUAUAGUAUUCGUGUUUGUGAUGCAUCCUUUUGAUGUCGGCGAUCGUUGUGUGGUUGAUGGUGUUCAGGUAACUAUUGAAAAUGACAUUCUUACAUGCAUGUAUGGGAAAGUUACUAAUUAUGCUUAUCACUUGGUAAUGGUAACUAACAGUUGCUGGUCAAGGAGAUGAAGAUUUUAACGACCGUCUUCCUGAAACUUGAUAAUGAAAAGGUGUACUACCCGAAUUCUGUUGGUGUUUAGAACUCGAACUUUGAUGGUUGAUCGAGAGAUUUAAAGCAGAAAAAAGAGAAAGGAAGUUUUUAAGUAGAAAAGAAAAUAAAUGAAGGCUGGAAAAAUAAUUGAAAACAGGAAUAUAUUUGAUUUGCACCUCAACGGUUUAAAUACAAAAAAUUCAAGACUAAAAAUAGAAAAAAGAGGUUCUAAAAAACUGUUAAAAAUAUGGUAACAAUAUACCAAACAAAUCAAAAAAUCUAAUCUCCUAAAGUCAAGGAGAAUUAUUCAAACUUAGUAACAGAAAAAAUUUAAAUGGCAGCAAUCUUAAACACAUUAUCUCAACACUCCUCCUUGUUUAGAUGCUGCAAACUCCAAUUAUAUUUCUGUCCAGAGGUCGAUCAACCAACUCCCAAGUUUUGUUUUUCUUGAUCAUCGCAAGCUCCUCCUUCAUUGCAGCCAUCCAAUGUUGACUGUUUUUUUGCAUCAUGAUACUCUGCAGGCUCACAAAUAGCCAUGUUACAUCUUUGGUAAAUGUCGGAGAGCAGCCUUGUACCUCUGACAGGUGCGUCAUCAGCUAAAACAUCUUGCCCUUCAUCUUCAAGCUCUUCUAACGUGCUGCCAAUGGUAAAAUGAUUUGGUGCACUAGAAGUUUGGUUCGUCUUGGUUGAGUCUUCCCAAUUCCAUUGCUCAUUUUCAACAAAAUAAACAUCUCUGCUCACAAUAACACGUCCAGUGUGUGGUUGAAAGACUCUGUAAGCUUUAGAUACAGUGCUAUACCCAACAAAAAUGCCAGCUUCUGCCUUUUUGUCAAGCUUAUCACGCUUGACCUGUGGAAUGUAAGUGAAACAUAGGCAGCCAAACACUCUAAGAAACUUUUUUAAAGAAGGUUUGUAACCAUACCAAGCUUCAAAUGGCAUCUGAUCCUUCACAGCUUUUGUUGAAAUCUGAUUUUGCAAGAACUCAGCAGUGUUUGCAGCUUCUCCCCAAAAGCUUUUUGGAAGAUUCUUCUCAUGAAGCAUACAACGAGUCAUCUCCAUUAUGAAUCUGUUCCUCCUUUCACUGACUCCAUUUUGUUGUGGAGUGUAUGGCGCCGUCAACUGAUGCUCAAUUCCAGCCUCAAGUCUCUUGUGCCAAGUCUCAGUAGCAUUAACUUUAGAUUUAAAAGCCAUUUGCUCAUUUUCCAUUGGAUUAAGAGCAAAAAUUUUUCCCUUCAUUUUGACAUUGAACAAGUCUCUGCCAUUAGCAUAUCUGAUCAAGCACUGCUUAUUCUCAAAUAGCACUUUAUAGCCUUUAUCCAGUAACUGACCAACACUUAAGAGAUUUUGAUCAAUUUUAGGUACAAAUAAAACAUCUGAAAUGAAUUUUGUACCUUCAUAGCUUGUAAUAGCUAUUGUGCCUUUUCCCUUGACUUCCAAGUACUCACCAUUUCCAAUCCUCACUCUUUUGACUUCAGUGUUUCUCAAUUCCUCGAAGAGCUCCUUGUCAUAGGUCAUGUGAUUUAUGCACCCACUAUCAAUCAACCAGCUCUCACUUGAUUCUCUUCUUGAGAAACAAGUAACCACAAACAAAUGAUCUUCUUCUUCUUGAUCAACUACCUGUGCAUCUACUUCUUGCACCUGGCCUUUGACCUUGCAAAUCACUGCUUCAUGUCCAAGUUGAUUGCAUUUGGAGCAUUUGGCGUCAGGUCUUUUCCAACAUUUGAAUGGUGGAUGACCUUUCUUCUCACAAUGGUGACAAGGUGGGUAGGAUUUCUUGACACCUCCUCUUUUGCUUUUUUGAUAAUUGUCUGAUGAAUUUUCUCCACUCGUCGAUUGGUUCUUAAAAUUUUUCUUCUUUUUAUACCUAUUGUUGUCUUGAUGCUUGACAGGUAAGGCCCCUUCUAUCACUCCCUCUUGCCUCAUGGAUCUUCUUUGCUCUUGUGCUUGUAAAGCAUUCAAGAGCUCUGCAAGAGAGAUCUUUGACAGGUCAUUGGUGUUCUCCAGAGUAGUAAUGGUGGCUUCAAACUUCUCUGGAACAGUGACCAGCAGCUUUUCUACGAUUCUAGAGUCAUUCAACUCAGAACCAAGCAAUCUCACCUUGUUGGCAAUGCUGAGAAGUCUGUCAGAAUAUUCUUUCACUGACUCAGACUCCUUCAUCUUCUGCAACUCAAAUCCCUGAUUAGAUUCAGGACUUUCAUUCCACGAAUCCUCUCAUCUCCUUCAUACUCAGCCUUGAGGUAAUCCCAGAUUUCCUUUGCUGAUUUCAGAGACAUUAUCCGUGUGAAAAUCAUUUGAGACACAGCUGCAAAUAAGCAAGCUUUUGCCUUUGAUUUCCUUGUCUUCUUUUCCUUUUGUGCUUUAAUCAGUGCCACAGUAGGAUUUGCUGGAAGUGGUGGGACUUCGUAAUCCUCUUCUACAGGUUCCCAAAGAUCCAAAGCCUCUAGGUAAGUCUCCAUGCGAACUACCCACAUCUGGUAAUUGUCUCCAUCGAAGACUGGUGGUGCAACAACUGAAAAAUUGGACCCUCCUUCCAUUUUAACACGCAAAUAACCUCACAGAUCCCUCAAGAAAACAGCUCUGAUACCAAUUUGUUGGUGUUUAGAACUCGAACUUUGAUGGUUGAUCGAGAGAUUUAAAGCAGAAAAAAGAGAAAUGAAGUUUUUAAGUAGAAAAGAAAAUAAAUGAAGGCUGGAAAAAUAAUUGAAGACAGGAAUAUAUUUGAUUUGCACCUCAACGGUUUAAAUACAAAAAAUUCAAGACUAAAAAUAGAAAAAAGAGGUACUAAAAAUAGAAAAAAGAGGUUCUAAAAAACUGCUAAAAAUAUGGUAACAAUAUACCAAACAAAUCAAAAAAUCUAAUCUCCUAAAGUCAAGGAGAAUUAUUCAAACUUAGUAACAGAAAAAAUUUAAAUGGCAGCAAUCUUAAACACAUUAUCUCAACAAAUUCAGUUUUGGCUACAAAGCCCAUCAGCAACUAUUAUAGAAGCCCGGAUAUGGGUGAUACAAUAGAGUUCUCGAUUGAUUUUUUGACCCCAGCAAAGACAAUAGGCAGGCUGAAAGAAGAGAUAAAGAAGUAAGUUGACUUUAGUUCAAGCAUGUAAGGUGUCUCCAUGUUAUAUAAUAUUUUUUAUGAUGUUUUGAUCUCGAUAGUUGAGUAUGAUUUUUAUUAUGUUUACCAGAACUUACUGUUCUUUGUUCCAAGUUCGUUUUGGUGUGUACAAUUUAUGAUCUUUCUGCUGCCAAUUCUUAAGCAGGCAUUUGGAAGCUAAUACCCUGUGGCGUCGUAAUCACCUUGUGGUGGUGAAGGAAAUCGAGAAUGUGAAUGCCUUUUGAAAGUGCGCAAACUGUAUGCUCGCAUGCAACUCAGUACCAUAGUAUUAUGUUGAGACUUAUCCUUUCCAACAAUUGGAAGGAUAUAUUCUUGUUUUCUGGUAGGACAUGGCUUCAUUACUCUUUUAUGAAUGUUACCUUGCAUGUUAGUAUUUCUCAAUUUUAUAAAUUACGUAUUUGUGAAAUUCCAUUUUUAUUUUCCAUGCAUAAAUUACGUAUUUGUUGACACUACAGAUCUAGUCUGCCAAUCUAGACCUGGUUCUUGGCCGUCUUCCGUCUAUGCUCAAUCAGCAAUUUAUCCCAUGGCACAUAGUGCAGCCCAGGUUUUACCUCAUUCUUUUAUAUAUUUUACAUUCAUACAAGAGUAAUUUUGUCUUUUUACAUUUCAAAUAAAACCGUUUUUAUUUUAUUUUAUACAUGUUGAUAUUUGAAGUCAUGACAUUAGCAUAUAUAAAAUCUCAACUUUACCACUACUGCAAAUGUUUCACCUCACUGAAUUAGUGUCAAUUGUACAUUGAGUCGGUUAGAGAAAUAACAUAUAUUCUUACAAGAAUUCUUUUGUCUUUUUUCAUUUUAAAUUAUAAAUGUUGAGAUUUGAAACCAUACCAUUAAUAUAUAUAAAAUCUCAAUUACUAAUAUUAUUACACAAUCAAUGCUUCAUUUUAAUUUUUUUGUACAUAUUAAUAUUAUUAAACAAAAGUUUUCACCUACACAUAUUACAUAUUUUAUUUUGUUCAUAUUGCAUAUGUUAUUUUUAAAUAAAACAUUAUGUUAUUUUUGAUGUGUUUUAAAAUGCAAAUCUAAGUUUUAAAAUCGUAAUUUUGACAUGUAAAAAUUUUAAUAUACUUUUAACAACGUAAUAAAAUAGUUGUCGUGACAUCACUAUCGAACUAUUCUAGAUGGCAAAAAUGAGAGUUUAGUACAGCCAAGUGGUAAAAGAAUUGAAUUAUUAGCUUCUUUUGAGGGGUCAGAAUUAAAAAGAAAAUAAACAUCAAAUUACAAGUUUACAAGUUUGUUUCUAGUAACACAUGUGGAUAAUAUUAUUGCCUUAAGUUCAUCCACUUAUAAAACCUUUGUAUGGGUUGCUUCUCUCUCUUUUCCCUCCCAGCUUAUGACUUGCAGUCUGUUUUGCCUACAAGAACAUCUCUUUAUCUUCUAUAGCAAACUGCUCACAUAAAUAUUUUGAUAUUUUUUUUGGUGAUGAUUACAGGCUAUUUAUUAUGUGGAAAGGGGGAAUCUGUUUUUGUGGCGGCACAUACAUCUGCUGGAAAGACAGUUGUAGCAGAAUAUGCAUUUGCUUUGGCAUCAAAAUUACGUUAUUUAUUUUGGUUUUUUGCUUGUAAAUCUAUAGACGUUUUGAUUUUUUGUUAGCUGGAGAUGUGACAAAUUGCUCACAUUGAUUAAGAACCUCAGGCCAUAUCUUUUUUAUUUUCAAGUUUCUGAAGUUCUAUGCCGAAUUUGGUUUAGUUUCAAGAUUUUUGAUAAGUUUUCAUGUCAUGCAGCAUUGCACUAGAGCUGUGUAUACGCUUUCAAAAACGCCACAAAUAAGCGCCACUAAAAAACCUAUUUUAGUGUAGUGGUAAUUGGAUAGUUACCUAAUAGUUAACUGCUCUCACUUAAUACAUAAACAAAAACUUGCUUAACUUGUACAUAAAAGAAAGCUAACAUACUAGCUAUUACAUCAACACAAAUCAAUCAAAUCAUCCUACUAACUUUUCUAUCAAAUUACAAAAGAACUAGACAAAGUUACAUAGGAACAAAACACUCAAAAUAAGUUGCUGCAUUCGGACUAGCUUCAUUUCUUCACUUCAGAACAAUGUUGCUGCUUGACAGAGCUGAAUUUUACUGCUGGUCCUUUGUUGCAAUGCAGGCCAAAGCUUAACAAAUAUCAACUCCAAUAGCUCUACCAUGAAACUAACCCAAUCUAGCUUGAGAAUGAAAACUGUCAAAGGUUGCCUCCAGCUCCAUGUGUUUAUCCCACGAGUUUUGAGAUCUGUUGCAAAUUCUGGAUUUAUAUAAUCCCAUUGAUAAAUAUGAGAAAAAUGGUGAGGAUGCUGAAAAUCAUUAUAUCAACAUAAAAUCAUGAUAAUAAGUCAAAGUCAAAGGUAAUUACUUCUCCACCAAGACUGAAUUGCCAGAACCCAAAAAGGAGCUCAAAAGAUUACUUUGACUUUGUGUUGACAAAUCUGUUGGCAACUAGCAUUGUAACUAAAUAUCAGUUCAAACACUUGCAUAAAUCAAGCAUUCAGUAAAUAAAUUGAAGGUCUUACAGCUCAGGUGUUCCUCCUUGUAAGGCUAAAGCUCCAAUUCAGCAGUGGCAUUCCCAAAGAUUUGUCAUUCCCUAAUCUUACAUCAACACAGAAGCAAAGGAUAUAAGAAAAAACAAUCUCACAAAUAACCAAUCUUUCUAAUGAAUCAAGAUAUGAUUGAAGGAAAAUGCAGCAAGUAUUGAGAUACCAGAUGAUACCAACGCUGGAACUAAACAAUGAAGCAGAACCGAGUCCAC
This 7194-nucleotide long non-coding RNA is filed under the name Gossypium barbadense (sea-island cotton). RNAcentral describes it as "long non-coding RNA (GBAR_LNC023214)". The record is from RNAcentral. Lineage: Eukaryota; Viridiplantae; Streptophyta; Magnoliopsida; Malvales; Malvaceae.